Molecule: ribosomal RNA, 465 nt
Filed under: uncultured bacterium
Lineage: Bacteria
Description: partial 16S ribosomal RNA
Rfam family: Bacterial small subunit ribosomal RNA
Source: RNAcentral
GACGAACGCUGGCGGCGUGCUUAACACAUGCAAGUCGAACGGAAAGGCCCUGCUUGCAGGGUACUCGAGUGGCGAACGGGUGAGUAACACGUGGGUGAUCUGCCCUGCACUUCGGGAUAAGCCUGGGAAGCUGGGUCUAAUACCGGAUAGGAGCCAUUUUUAGUGUGAUGGUUGGAAAGUUUUUUCGGUGUAGGAUGAGCUCGCGGCCUAUCAGCUUGUUGGUGGGGUAAUGGCCUACCAAGGCGGCGACGGGUAGCCGGCCUGAGAGGGUGGACGGCCACAUUGGGACUGAGAGACGGCCCAGACUCCUACGGGAGGCAGCAGGGGGGAAUAUUGCACAAUGGGCGCAAGCCUGAUGCAGCGACGCCGCGUGGGGGAUGACGGCCUUCGGGUUGUAAACUCCUUUCGCUAGGGACGAAGCUUUUUGUGACGGUGCCUAGAUAAGAAGCACCGGCUAACUACGUG